This 72-nucleotide transfer RNA is filed under the name Ictidomys tridecemlineatus (thirteen-lined ground squirrel). RNAcentral's name for it is "Spermophilus tridecemlineatus (thirteen-lined ground squirrel) tRNA". It matches the Rfam family "tRNA". From Rfam's summary of the family: Transfer RNA (tRNA) molecules are approximately 80 nucleotides in length. Their secondary structure includes four short double-helical elements and three loops (D, anti-codon, and T loops). Lineage: Eukaryota; Metazoa; Chordata; Mammalia; Rodentia; Sciuridae. The record is from Rfam by way of RNAcentral.
UGAGUUGUGGCUCAGUGGUAGAGCACUUGCCUUGCAUAGAUGAGGCGCUGGGUUCGAUUCUCAGCACUGCAU